Molecule: ribosomal RNA, 468 nt
Filed under: uncultured bacterium
Lineage: Bacteria
Description: partial 16S ribosomal RNA
Rfam family: Bacterial small subunit ribosomal RNA
Source: RNAcentral
GACGAACGCUGGCGGCGUGCUUAACACAUGCAAGUCGAACGGAAAGGCCCUGCUUUUGUGGGGUGCUCGAGUGGCGAACGGGUGAGUAACACGUGAGUAACCUGCCCUUGACUUUGGGAUAACUUCAGGAAACUGGGGCUAAUACCGGAUAGAAGCUCCUGCUGCAUGGUGGGGGUUGGAAAGUUUCGGCGGUUGGGGAUGGACUCGCGGCUUAUCAGCUUGUUGGUGGGGUAGUGGCUUACCAAGGCUUUGACGGGUAGCCGGCCUGAGAGGGUGACCGGCCACAUUGGGACUGAGAUACGGCCCAGACUCCUACGGGAGGCAGCAGUGGGGAAUAUUGCACAGUGGGCGGAAGCCUGAUGCAGCAACGCCGCGUGCGGGAUGACGGCCUUCGGGUUGUAAACCGCUUUCGCCUGUGACGAAGCGUGAGUGACGGUAAUGGGUAAAGAAGCACCGGCUAACUACGUG